Molecule: ribosomal RNA, 468 nt
Filed under: uncultured bacterium
Lineage: Bacteria
Description: partial 16S ribosomal RNA
Rfam family: Bacterial small subunit ribosomal RNA
Source: RNAcentral
GACGAACGCUGGCGGCGUGCUUAACACAUGCAAGUCGAACGGAAAGGCCCUGCUUUUGUGUGGUGCUCGAGUGGCGAACGGGUGAGUAACACGUGAGUAACCUUCCCUGGACUUGGUGAUAACUUCAGGAAACUGGUGCUAAUACCGGAUAGGAGCUCCUGCUGCAUGGUGGGGGUUGGAAAUCUUAGGCGGUUGGGGAUGGACUCGCGGCUUAUCAGCUUGUUGGUGGGGGAGUGGCUUACCAAGGCUUUGACGGGUAGCCGGCCUGGGAGGGUGACCGGCGACAUUGGGACUGAGAUACGGCCCAGACUGCUACGGGAGGCAGCAGUGGGGAAUAUUGCACAAUGGGCGGACGCCUGAUGAAGAAACGCCGCGUGCGGGAUGACGGCCUUCGGGUUGUAAACCGCUUUAGCCUGUGACGAAGCGUGAGUGACGGUAAUGGGUAAAGAAGCACCGGCUAACUACGUG